AAUUAAUUUUAAAAUAAUGUUGAUUUUGUAAUGACAUUAUGGUAUAUUUAAUAGGUAGGCGUCAUUAAUAAUAUUAACGCGGGAUGGAGCAGUUCGG
Staphylococcus cohnii subsp. cohnii is the source of this 97-nucleotide non-coding RNA. Lineage: Bacteria; Bacillati; Bacillota; Bacilli; Caryophanales; Staphylococcaceae. The record is from Rfam.